CCAGUAGUCCUAGCCGUAAACGAUGGAUACUAGGCGUGGCUUGUAUCGACCCGAGCCGUGCCGUAGCUAACGCGUUAAGUAUCCCGCUUGGGGAGUACGCCGGCAACGGUGAAACUCAAAGGAAUUGACGGGGGGCCCGCACAAGCGGGGGGAGUAUGUGGUUUUAAUUCGAUGCAACGCGAAGAACCUUACCAGGGCUUGACAUGGAACUGCAAGCGGUAGAAAUAUCGUCGCCUUCGAGGGUGAUCCACAGGUGCUGCAUGGCUGUCGUCCAGCUCGUGUUGUGAAAUGUUGGGUUAAGUCCCGCAACAACGAGCGCAACCCUCAUGUUCUGUUGCCAGCGGGUAAUGCCGGGAACUCGGAACAAACUGCC
This 373-nucleotide ribosomal RNA is filed under the name Nostoc sp. HG1. RNAcentral describes it as "bacterial SSU rRNA". It matches the Rfam family "Bacterial small subunit ribosomal RNA", at positions 787 to 1153 of the family's 1533-position model. The record is from RNAcentral. Lineage: Bacteria; Bacillati; Cyanobacteriota; Cyanophyceae; Nostocales; Nostocaceae.